GCCGAAAUAGCUCAGUUGGUAGAGCAGUGGACUGAAGAUCCUCGUGUCACCAGUUCAAUUCUGGUUUUUGGUA
RNAcentral lists this transfer RNA (73 nucleotides) under Chromera velia. Its description in RNAcentral is "tRNA-Phe". It matches the Rfam family "tRNA". Rfam says of the family: Transfer RNA (tRNA) molecules are approximately 80 nucleotides in length. The record is from RNAcentral. Lineage: Eukaryota; Chromeraceae.